Long non-coding RNA from Calidris pugnax (ruff), 443 nucleotides. RefSeq lists it as uncharacterized. NCBI's taxonomy places the organism in Eukaryota, Metazoa, Chordata, Aves, Charadriiformes, Scolopacidae. The transcript is spliced from 2 exons. The record is from RefSeq and is a predicted model, not a curated record.
UCUCCCAUCCCAUCCUUUCUCCCAUCCCAUCCUUUCUCCCAUCCCAUCCUUUCUCCCAUCCCUUCCUUCUCCCAUCCCUUCCUUCUCCCAUCCCUUCCUUCUCCCAUCCCUUCUCCCAUCCCUUUGCAGCUGGAGGCCAACCCGCCCUGCAUCCCUCCAUCCCCGACCCUCUGCCCCAGUGCUCCCAGCAGCCCCGCGCGCAGACCCUCACCUCCGGGACGGCACCCACAGGAAGAACAUCAACAGGAGUUUGGGGUCCCUGGGACGACUCUUUGCACCCUGACCCCCCCUGGGGUGCUGCAGGUAUUUGGGGGCAGCCCCCCACCCCCCCCUUUCCUUCCUGGGCUCAUAGCCCAGCGGGUGCGGAUGCCGCAAGGAGCCCGCCGUGCCGUGCCGUGCCGUGCCGUGCCGUGCCGCGCCAAUAAAGCUCUUUUCGCUGCGGG